This 573-nucleotide long non-coding RNA is filed under the name Cricetulus griseus (Chinese hamster). RNAcentral describes it as "lncRNA (ENSCGRG00015039535.1)". Lineage: Eukaryota; Metazoa; Chordata; Mammalia; Rodentia; Cricetidae. The record is from RNAcentral.
CCUCCAUGGCCUCUGCAUCAGCUCCUGCCUCCAGGUUCCUGCCCUGUUUGAGUUCUGUCCUGACUUCCUUUUCGUGAUGAAGUGUGACAUGGAAAUAUAGUGACUCUGGGACGUCAUCCAUUUAUAUCAGUGAAGGGAACAGAUGGCACAGUUGCUUCCUUUCUGCAUAUACAGUGUCCCAAGAAACAGUCCCUGGAUUCAUCCGAGUCCAGUCAUCCAUGAGCAGGGGACCUGCUGCCUCGGAAGCUGCUGUGGAGAGCGUGUGGACAAUUUGAGACAGGCACCAGCUGGUCUUCUGAAGGAUCACUUGUGACACUAGAGAAAGUCUCAUGCUGCUGAGGAGCAGUGUUGGGUUGGAAGAGGAGCACUGUGGGGUGUCAAUGCUAAACUGGGAGAAUGAGAGGCUGUGAGAGAGCUGCCUUGGGAAACCAUGUAAAGAGUGGCCAAGAUUGCAGGUAGUGUCCCCAGUCCUCUACUACAGCUGCUGUCUGUCUGCUGCUGGCUUUGCAUCUUUCAGACUGGCAUUGCUGGUACCAGGCGGGAAAUUUUAGGGGCAACCACCCCUGCCUCCAG